Molecule: long non-coding RNA, 254 nt
Organism: Chrysoperla carnea
Lineage: Eukaryota; Metazoa; Arthropoda; Insecta; Neuroptera; Chrysopidae
Exons: 2
Source: RefSeq, a predicted model, not a curated record
UAUUUGCCAAUAAUUUUAUAAGUACGAUUUGUCAUACAAUCGAAUUAAUUUUUUUAUAACAUUUCAAAUACGAAAAACUAGUGCUGUUUUUCCACAAAACUAGACUAGAAUCUCUCUCUAGGCUAGAAUAAUGAAUAAUAGGUGUCUUGCAAUGUUGAUUUCAGAUUUUGUUUUAAGUUAAGCAAAGAUACUGUAAGAUAUACCAAGGAGAGAUCCUGUAGGAUAUGGAGAUCUGUGAAGAAACUACAAAAUAU